RNAcentral lists this ribosomal RNA (497 nucleotides) under uncultured bacterium. Its description in RNAcentral is "partial 16S ribosomal RNA". It matches the Rfam family "Bacterial small subunit ribosomal RNA", at positions 28 to 507 of the family's 1533-position model. The record is from RNAcentral.
GAUGAACGCUGGCGGCGUGCCUAAUACAUGCGAGUCGAGCGAACAGACGAGGAGCUUGCUCCUCUGACGUUAGCGGCGGACGGGUGAGUAACACGUGGAUAACCUACCUAUAAGACUGGGAUAACUUCGGGAAACCGGAGCUAAUACCGGAUAAUAUAUUGAACCGCAUGGUUCAAUAGUGAAAGACGGUUUUGCUGUCACUUAUAGAUGGAUCCGCGCCGCAUUAGCUAGUUGGUAAGGUAACGGCUUACCAAGGCGACGAUGCGUAGCCGACCUGAGAGGGUGAUCUGCCACACUGGAACUGAGACACGGUCCAGACUCCUACGGGAGGCAGCAGUAGGGAAUCUUCCGCAAUGGGCGAAAGCCUGACGGAGCAACGCCGCGUGAGUGAUGAAGGUCUUCGGAUCGUAAAACUCUGUUAUUAGGGAAGAACAAAUGUGUAAGUAACUAUGCACGUCUUGACGGUACCUAAUCAGAAAGCCACGGCUAACUACGUG